Molecule: ribosomal RNA, 292 nt
Filed under: uncultured prokaryote
Description: partial 16S ribosomal RNA
Rfam family: Bacterial small subunit ribosomal RNA
Source: RNAcentral
GUGCCAGCAGCCGCGGUAAUACAGAGGGUGCGAGCGUUAAUCGGAUUUACUGGGCGUAAAGCGUGCGUAGGCGGCUUUUUAAGUCGGAUGUGAAAUCCCUGAGCUUAACUUAGGAAUUGCAUUCGAUACUGGGAAGCUAGAGUAUGGGAGAGGAUGGUAGAAUUCCAGGUGUAGCGGUGAAAUGCGUAGAGAUCUGGAGGAAUACCGAUGGCGAAGGCAGCCAUCUGGCCUAAUACUGACGCUGAGGUACGAAAGCAUGGGGAGCAAACAGGAUUAGAUACCCCGGUAGUCC